CGCGCAGGCGGUCGUAUAAGUCGAAUGUGAAAGCCCCCGGCUCAACUGGGGAGAGUCAUUCGAUACUGUUCGACUCGAAGGCAGGAGAGGGAAGUGGAAUUCCGGGUGUAGUGGUGAAAUGCGUAGAUAUCCGGAGGAACACCAGUGGCGAAGGCGACUUUCUGGCCUGUUCUUGACGCUGAGGCGCGAAAGCUAGGGAGCAAACG
RNAcentral lists this ribosomal RNA (206 nucleotides) under uncultured bacterium. RNAcentral describes it as "partial 16S ribosomal RNA". It matches the Rfam family "Bacterial small subunit ribosomal RNA", at positions 568 to 774 of the family's 1533-position model. The record is from RNAcentral.